GACAGAGGUGCCGAGCGUAGGCGGAAUCACUGGGCUUAAAGCGUGUGUAGGCGGAUCGUUAAGUACCUUGUGAAAUCCCACGGCUCAACCGUGGAACUGCUGGGUAUACUGGCGGUCUUGAGCCACCUAGGGGCGAGCGGAACAAGCGGUGGAGCGGUGAAAUGCGUAGAUAUCGCUUGGAACGCCAACGGUGAAAACAGCUCGCUGGGGGUGUGCUGACGCUGGAGACACGAAAGCCAGGGGAGCGAACGGG
RNAcentral lists this ribosomal RNA (253 nucleotides) under uncultured bacterium. RNAcentral's name for it is "partial 16S ribosomal RNA". It matches the Rfam family "Bacterial small subunit ribosomal RNA", at positions 524 to 776 of the family's 1533-position model. The record is from RNAcentral.